CAGUCGAACGAUGAAAGGGAAUCCGAUCUCUUCGGAGUGAAGAAUCUCUGGAUCAUUGGAGGACGGGUGAGUAACGCGUGAGCAAUCUGCCUUACACAAAGGGAUAGCCUCGGGAAACCGGGAUUAAUACCAUAUGAUAUCUAUUAACCGCAUGGCCUAUAGAUUAAAGAAUUUCGGUGUAAGAUGAGCUCGCGUCCCAUUAAUUAGUUGGUGAGGGUAACGGCCCACCAAGAUAGCGAUGGGUAGCCGAUCUAAGAGGAUGACCGGCCACAUUGGAACUGAGAAACGGUCCAAACUCCUACGGGAGGCAGCAGUGGGGAAUAUUGCACAAUGGGGGAAACCCUGAUGCAGCGACGCCGCGUGAGCGAUGAAGGCUUUCGAGUCGUAAAGCUCUGUCCUAUGGGAAGAUAAUGACGGUACCAUAGAAGAAAGCCCCGGCUAAUUACGUGCCAGCAGCCGCGGUAAUACGUAAGGGGCGAGCGUUGUCCGGAAUUAUUGGGCGUAAAGAGUGCGUAGGCGGCAAAUUAAGUCAGAUGUGAAAACUAAGGGCUCAACCCAUAGAUUGCAUCUGAAACUGAUAUGCUUGAGUCAAGGAGAGGAAAGUGGAAUUCCUAGUGUAGCGGUGGAAUGCGUAGAUAUUAGGAGGAAUACCGGUGGCGAAGGCGACUUUCUGGACUUGAACUGACGCUGAGGCACGAAAGCGUGGGGAGCAAACAGGAUUAGAUACCCUGGUAGUCCACGCCGUANACGAUGAGUGCUAGGUGUCUGCUCNUACGAGUAGGUGCCGUACGUUAACACAUUAAGCACUCCGCCUGGGGAGUACGUACGCAAGUA
This 834-nucleotide ribosomal RNA is filed under the name uncultured bacterium. RNAcentral's name for it is "bacterial SSU rRNA". It matches the Rfam family "Bacterial small subunit ribosomal RNA", at positions 59 to 894 of the family's 1533-position model. The record is from RNAcentral.